CUUUCAUUGUAUACACAUUAUUAGUAGCAAAUAAAAUUUUAAUGUACUAAACUUUAAUCAAUUCUACAAUAUAUCCUGUGUUAUACUCUAAUACACUCAAAUAAUUCAAGCUUUGAAAUUUAAAAAAAUAGUAACAGUUUUUAUUUGUGAAAUUAAAUAAAGAAAAAAAAAUCUAUACUAAUAAAUGGAGUUUUUUUGUUCGGUUAUACUGCGAAAACUACCAUAAGAUGCAGCGUGUUUCGGAGAAGGUUUUAGUAUAUGAUAUGUUGGUGAUUACUUACCCGGAACUUAUAUUUUUUUUUACUUAGAAAUAAUGAAUUUUUAUUGUAACUAAAUUUAUUCUAUUCGAUUGUCGUUUGUUUAAAAUAAAUUUUUUAAUUCUAUUGUUUAUAUUUAUUUAUCGAUUUGACAUUUGGUGAAUCGAGGACUGUCAAGAAUUAUUUAUAAUAAUGCAUUUGUGAAAUAUCAUUACUAUUCGUCGUCGGUACAUCAGGGCUAAUCAAUUAUAUGAUGCUGCCUCUAUGUUUUUACCAUACAAGUCACAAAAAUUACGAUAGUUGGAUUGUAAAUUUUUUGAAAAGGUAUAGUAUAUGCCAUCUGAAGCGUUUCCGUAUGAAAGACAAAUGUCACAAUACCAUGAUGUGAUGCUUGUGUGAGUAUGUAUAUAUAUAUAUAUACAAAUGAUGACGUCUACUUUGUCUGUAUUAUUUGUGGUUCAACUAUAUAUAUUUAUAAAUCAGUUCAUCUUUAUCCACAGUGUAGUGCAGAAAUAGAGGUUAUUUUUCAUGACGUUUUUUGGACAAUUGUAAAUAAGAAAUUUAAAAAAAAAACUGUGCUUUCUUCAUUACAAACCUACAUAGAUUAUGGAAUAUAAUAAUUUGGUGGUGAUAUUCUUCAUUUGUCGACCAUGAAUAAUUUUACCCGGCUUUGCGAGAGGUAAAACAUUUCAAUAACCUCAAAUUAUGGACAUUUAACGUUUCUAUAUGAUACUGAAGUUAGCAGACGCCUAAUAAUUUUUGGAUAUUUUUUAAAAUGAUAAAUUAUAGAAAAAAAGUAUUCGAAAAAAUUGCACCUAUGGUUUUUUUAAUUUUCUACAUGUGCGUAUUUUGAAUACAACGAAAUGAGUUAUUUAUUUAAAAGGAAAAAAUUAUAAUACUUUCGGAAUCUGAUGAGAAAUUAUAACUGAUAAAGUUAAAUUAAUUAAUAAUAAAUUUUAUAUGUACCAAAAAAAUAUAUUUGAAAAAU
Molecule: long non-coding RNA, 1245 nt
Organism: Microplitis mediator
Lineage: Eukaryota; Metazoa; Arthropoda; Insecta; Hymenoptera; Braconidae
Exons: 3
Source: RefSeq, a predicted model, not a curated record